RNAcentral lists this ribosomal RNA (468 nucleotides) under uncultured bacterium. Its description in RNAcentral is "partial 16S ribosomal RNA". It matches the Rfam family "Bacterial small subunit ribosomal RNA", at positions 28 to 507 of the family's 1533-position model. The record is from RNAcentral.
GACGAACGCUGGCGGCGUGCUUAACACAUGCAAGUCGAACGGAAAGGCCCUGCUUUUGUGGGGUGCUCGAGUGGCUAACGUGUGAUUAACACGUGAGUAACCUGCCCUUGACUUUGGGAUAACUUCAGGAAACUGGGGCUAAUACCGGAUAGGAGCUCCUUCUGCAUGGUGGGGUUUGUAAAGUUUCUGCGGUUGGGUAUGGAAUCGCGGCUUAUCAGCUUGUUGGUGGGGUAGUGGCUUACCAAAGCUUUGACGGGUAGCCGGACUGAGAGGGGGACCGGCAACAUUGGGGAUGAGAUACGGCCCAGACUAAUACGGGAGGCAGCAGUGGGGAAUAUUGCACAAUGGGCGGAAGCCAGAUGCAGCAACGCCGCGUGCGGGAUGACGGCCUUCGGGUUGUAAACCGCUUUCGCCUGUGACGAAGCGAGAGUGACGGUAAUGGGUAAAGAAGCACCGGCUAAAUACGUG